AGAGCAUUCCACAGGAGGUGUUCCUGCUCUGAAUUCCCAGGCUCUCUGUGUUCCCGGGGAGGGAGCAAUGGCUCAGUUAGGUGUUACCAGAGUACCAGCAUGAAGUGGCCACUGAAUAAUUCUGAACCAAAGGCAUGGCUGUAGAUGAUUUACCAUCUGCAAUGAACCAACAGAGCUGGGACAUGACAGAAGACAGGGAAGUUGAAGCCUGAAGCUCCUUCUGUGGGAGGAGGGACAAGUAUCCAAGAAUCCCUGAUUAGCUGGAAUGUCCAUUUUGGUGCCUGUGAGUCAGUCUGGC
RNAcentral lists this long non-coding RNA (298 nucleotides) under Manacus vitellinus (golden-collared manakin). RNAcentral's name for it is "lncRNA (ENSMVIG00005016177.1)". Lineage: Eukaryota; Metazoa; Chordata; Aves; Passeriformes; Pipridae. The record is from RNAcentral.